RNAcentral lists this ribosomal RNA (980 nucleotides) under uncultured Prevotella sp. RNAcentral's name for it is "bacterial SSU rRNA". It matches the Rfam family "Bacterial small subunit ribosomal RNA", at positions 509 to 1503 of the family's 1533-position model. Lineage: Bacteria; Pseudomonadati; Bacteroidota; Bacteroidia; Bacteroidales; Prevotellaceae. The record is from RNAcentral.
CAGCAGCCGCGGUAAUACGGAAGGUCCGGGCGUUAUCCGGAUUUAUUGGGUUUAAAGGGAGCGUAGGCCGGAGAUUAAGUGUGUUGUGAAAUGUAGACGCUCAACGUCUGACUUGCAGCGCAUACUGGUUUCCUUGAGUACGCACAACGUUGGCGGAAUUCGUCGUGUAGCGGUGAAAUGCUUAGAUAUGACGAAGAACUCCGAUUGCGAAGCAGCUGACGGGAGCGUAACUGACGCUUAAGCUCGAAGGUGCGGGUAUCGAACAGGAUUAGAUACCCUGGUAGUCCGCACAGUAAACGAUGGAUGCCCGCUGUUGGUACCUAGUAUCAGCGGCUAAGCGAAAGCAUUAAGCAUCCCACCUGGGGAGUACGCCGGCAACGGUGAAACUCAAAGGAAUUGACGGGGGCCCGCACAAGCGGAGGAACAUGUGGUUUAAUUCGAUGAUACGCGAGGAACCUUACCCGGGCUUGAAUUGCAGAGGAAGGAUUUAGAGAUAAUGACGCCCUUCGGGGCCUCUGUGAAGGUGCUGCAUGGUUGUCGUCAGCUCGUGCCGUGAGGUGUCGGCUUAAGUGCCAUAACGAGCGCAACCCCUCUCUUCAGUUGCCAUCAGGUAAUGCUGGGCACUCUGGAGACACUGCCACCGUAAGGUGUGAGGAAGGUGGGGAUGACGUCAAAUCAGCACGGCCCUUACGUCCGGGGCUACACACGUGUUACAAUGGCCGGUACAGAGGGAUGGUGUAAUGCAAAUUGCAUCAAAUCUUGAAAGCCGGUCCCAGUUCGGACUGGGGUCUGCAACCCGACCCCACGAAGCUGGAUUCGCUAGUAAUCGCGCAUCAGCCAUGGCGCGGUGAAUACGUUCCCGGGCCUUGUACACACCGCCCGUCAAGCCAUGAAAGCCGGGGGCGCCUGAAGUCCGUGACCGGAAGGAUCGGCCUAGGGCAAAACUGGUGAUUGGGGCUAAGUCGUAACAAGGUAGCCGU